AGUUGACGAGGUGACCAAAGAGCCCCCUUAAUUCCUAUGAUCGCCAUCCUGUAGAUGCGGUCGUAUACCUUUCGGAAUGUGGCCUUGCCCAUUGCAGGCCACCACACGAGUGAGGCAUAGGUGAUUUGAGGUAGUAUUGAUGGCUGUGAAUAUCCAUCGGACUACCCGUAGUUGUAGUCCCCAAGUUUAGCCGACCAUCCUUCUGCAGGCCCAGUAGGUGGCCGUAGCCUUCUGUGCCUGGUGGUUGAUGUGGGCCCUCUAUGUAAGUUUGGGAUCCAGGAUGACUCCCCGGUAGCGCAGCCCGGUAUAAAGGGUUAAUCUUUACCGGAAGAUCUCGAUAUGUCCCAUCCUGAGGUUGCGCUUCCUGGUGAAAAGUAACAUCUCGGUUUUGCUAGGAUUAAUCCUGUGU
Molecule: long non-coding RNA, 409 nt
Organism: Diprion similis
Lineage: Eukaryota; Metazoa; Arthropoda; Insecta; Hymenoptera; Diprionidae
Exons: 3
Source: RefSeq, a predicted model, not a curated record